RNAcentral lists this unclassified non-coding RNA (287 nucleotides) under Hevea brasiliensis (rubber tree). Lineage: Eukaryota; Viridiplantae; Streptophyta; Magnoliopsida; Malpighiales; Euphorbiaceae. The record is from RNAcentral.
GUUUUUUUUUUUUUUUUGGUUAAUAAUAAAAGACGGCACAUGGUGGAGAAGAAGAUGUGCAAACAUAGUUUUAAGUUGGUGUUUAGCUUCUCAUGUUGGGGAUGAAAAUGAAAACUUACUUUUGCCUUUAUUCUGUUGUGGUGUUUGUUUUAGACUUUAGAGAGUUUGGUGAGCUCUGACCUCUCUGUGUUUUGCAUUUUGUAGUCCUGUAAAGAUUACUAAUUAGAAUGUUUAGAUUACUCGUCAAAUGACUGAUUCUAAAUAUUAAAUAAAGAAUUGUUGCACCG